Salmo salar (Atlantic salmon) is the source of this 4443-nucleotide long non-coding RNA. RefSeq lists it as uncharacterized. NCBI's taxonomy places the organism in Eukaryota, Metazoa, Chordata, Actinopteri, Salmoniformes, Salmonidae. The record is from RefSeq and is a predicted model, not a curated record.
UUUAGGAAACUUGGAGAAGAAAUUGUUUAUAAUGGAGUUGUGCUUGUUGUUCUCACAUAUCUGCCCUCUCAUUGGCUAGAAUGUUUAUUUAGUCAUUUAUUUUACCCCAAGUCCAGUUGAGGGCGACACUACACCUUUUGAGUGUAGUUCGCCAUAAAACCCAAAUAAGAAUACCUCGCUCUUGCUCUGUGCCUACAUUCCCGCACAGUAGGUGGCGGCAUGCACUUAAACGAUUGUUUGCGGAGCGCCUUGACAUAGAAGAAGACUCAGCUGAGUCACAGCGAAAAAGGGAUUAGUUAUAAAUAUCUUUGAAUGAGUCUAACUAUCCUUAGAUUUAGACGUCUGUCAACAUGGCUGACUCCCAGAAGCAUCCGUUAAUUUUAUACCUCAGUAAUCCUGCACCACCAGAGACCGCUUUAAAACCUAAAAUUAUUCGACCAGCAGCCAAGAAGCAGAACGAUUGUCCCGUGGACAGACCCGAGUAAAUUUAGGUGUUGCGUUUUUACGAUGGUUAGCUGCCACCCCCAUCCACAACCUGCUGCCCCCCUCCCUCCCCAGAAGAUAUUAUCGUGAACAUCGACUGCCUGCUGCAGCUGUUUCAGCGGUGUGAGCAGUGCAGGCAUGAGAGUGUGAUCCAGACACAGGGAGACAGGACAUGCCUCUCUGUGACCCAACACUGCCAGAGCUGGAACCACCUCAGGACAUGGGCAAGUAACCAGUCUGUUUUCCAGACAACACACAGAGGAAAUGGGGAAGAGCCACAGAACACCCAGGUUGGUAUUUCAGGAUUAACAGUUGAUAUUGUGAGGUAACUAACUUCAGUUGUGUGUAUUCUGUGGUAUCGCUAGCUCUGACAGAAUUAUCCCUCCAAUAAUGGUGUAUGCCUUGCUGAGGUGCAAGUGGCUCUGCCGUCUGAGGACACACAAUGCCCUGGAGCUGACCGGCCCCUGGAGAUGGAGGUGACCGUAGACCAGCCACCAAGACCAGGGGGAAGUGGCUUGUCAUUGGUGAAGUGGAAGGAGGGGAACAAAGGAGCUGAGGAGAUCAAGAAAGUGACUGAGGUGGUGUUGGACAGUGAGACGGACAGUGCACGAAGUCAGGAUGAAAAUAGCCUGUCCUUACAGGAGAAUGAUGGAGGAGAGAAGAGAAGGGAAAGUCCCUAGGAGGUGAACAACAGGAGAAUGGUGCUGAGCAGCGGGCCUCUAUUGCGGUGAUGAUAUACUCUAUAGGGGCUGAGAACUCUGAAAGCCAAACCUCUCAGAUAGACAGAGGAGAGAAGACGGAGGUGGCUGCAGAUGGGUGUGAGCUGGAGGGUGAGGAGAAGGAAAAAGAUGAGGAAGAUGGCCAAAGAGAGAGUGACUCUGACUUUGACCCAGAGGAAGAGGAGGAUGAGGGACUGAGAGAGUGACACUGAAUUUGACCCAGAGGAGGAGAGCACAACAAGUAGUAGAGGGAGAAGCAGAGGAAGAGGUAGGAGGAAAGGGAGAAUCAGGGGAAGAAGUAGGGGGGUAGGGGGAAAGGGAGAAGCAGAGGAAGGCAAUUGCAGCAGCCUACAGGAGAGACUCAUUUGAAUGAGUCUGCUGAAGAAUCAGAUGGCUCACCUUCAUCAUUACCCCGGAGAGACCAGCAGGACCAGGAGUCUUUCAGCGGUGCCGCUGGAGAACUGGGCUCUGGGUCCUUACCAGCAUCCAGCAGAAAUUCAAACACUCCAAACGCCAUAUGGUCCUCUGUCCUGAAUGUGGCGUCCUGUACACCACCAGGCUGCAGCACCAUAAGUGUGAACACAAGUUCAUGGUCUGCUGUCCAGACUGUGGGAAACGCUGUGUGAAGGAACUCAGCCUCAAGAGUCACCAGAGGCAACACCAUCAGGACCUUAAGUUUCCCUGUAAAUUCUGCCUCCAAUCCUUCAGGACGUGCCUGGACAAGCUGACCCACGAAGACCCACAGAUUCAAAAAUCACAGAUGCUACAGCUGCUCAGAGUGCCCACUGAGGUUUGACAACAUCCUCAUACGGAACUGGCAUCUCAGAGAGCACAAGUCCAAGAAACACAUCUGUCAUACAUGUUACAAGGAAUUCGACAAAGGUCACCGCCUAAAGAGGCACGAGCUGUCCUAUAGUGACGACAAACCCUUCAAGUGCCAGGUAUGCAAUACUAAUUAGUUACUCCAAACUGAAGCCUGGUUUAGACAGAUGGGUGCCGUGUUUAGAUGAGUUUUGCUUGGAUCACAACCCAUAGGGCCCUCAAACUCAACUCUGGACCUCAAUCAGGGACUGAUUUAGACCUGGGAAACCAGGUGGGUGCAAUUCAUUAUCAGGUAGAACAGAACUAGCAGGUUCCAGACCUUGUAGAGUAAGAGUUGAAUACCCCUGCCAUAGGGGGUGGAAGGGAAUAAGUAGGUAUAUGUGCUAGCUAAACAGGCCCUUAGGAGAGAGAUAGUGGAUGUGGCGGUGCCAAUGGGCAAGGCAGAGGCUAAGGGAAUGAUUUGGACAGCGGUGGCAGGAGCAGUGGAACAGAGACGGUAAAGGCAGGCAUCUAUUCUAAGUAAAGAGGAAAGUCGGGGACGGGAGGAAGAAACAGAUGGGGCCAUUUUUACAAGGCAUGGACACAGAUGGCUGAAUAAGUCAUUACUAUUUCAUAGCCUUUAUUUAACCAGGAAAAGCCCAUUGACACCCAGAGUCUCUUUUUUUCAAGGGAGAUCUGGCCAAGAAGGCAGCAACAAUCUAUACAUUACAGAAUUAAAACAUACAAUUCAACAACAUGAUCCAGCCUAAAAAAAGCAUUUGCACUAUUAGGAAGGUGUCUGUGACGCACACAUGUAGCCAUAGCUAAAUCUCCCUGUCCUUUGCACUUUAACAUUAAUUUGCACCAGACAUUUAGUGUCCAAUCAAAUAAUGACCACAUGGUUUUCAUUUCAAAUAUCAAAGAUACACCUUUAUUGAAUUGUUGCAUACACUAAUUCUAAGUUAAGUCCACACCCUUAGAUUUAUAUUUGUAACAUCUUAAUCUAAUAAUUAUAGAUGCGUUUUACCAUUUGAGAUUUUGCAGCACGUUUCUGGUGCCUUAUCUGCAGCAUUGUGGCCAGCUUGUUAGAGGGCCUGCUGCUAAUUGGACCUUCCUAUUAUCCUGAAAUAGAGGGGUGUAGGUAGCAUAUCAUUUUAAACUGGAUUUCCCCAGUUUAACAUGAUAUGCUGGAUUUCCCCAGUUUAACAUGAUAUGCUGGAUUUCCCCAGUUUAACAUGAUAUGCUAGAGUUUUCUAUUUAAAAUGCAUAUAUUUAAAACAAAUUACGUUAAUGAUAUUUAUGCUUAAAAUCAUGUUUCUGCAAAAAAUGUUGGGAAUAGAUCCUUUAUUUAUUUAUUUAUUUUUGUUAUGUGUAUCUUUGUAGGCUACCUACCUCGUAUUUGGAACUGGCCAUUCUCUUUUAUAUUCUGUGUGCUCAACUAACUCUUGAGUUUCAAGUGUCAAAUAAAUCAGAAAAAUUGGACAUUGUGGCUGUGGCAGAGAAGGUUCUGGGCCUGAAAGACGGAAGAAGUACGGCCCUCCCAGGCUCCUGAGGCUGUGUCGGGAUCAGAUUUUGACUGUGAUUUUAGCAGAAGAAAUAGUGUUAAUUUUGUUUUUGGUAGUUAGUAUGAAUAUUUUAAUCCAAAACGUUUUUGGGGGAUAUUUUACUGCCCCGCACAGUAGGUGGUGGCAAUACACCUUAUAGGUUAGACUACAGCCACCCAAGUCAAAGACUGUUCUCUCUAUUUCCACAUGGCAAGCUGUGCCAGUGCAUCAAGUCUGACACCAACAGGCUCCUGAAGAGCUUCCAUCCCCAAGCCAUAAGACUGCUAAAUAGCUAACUAAAUGGCUACACAGACUGAGUUGACCCUUGUAUUUGAUUUUUGCACACUCAGAGGCCCUACACACUCACUCACUCCAUUCACUCACACACACACAUAAUAUGCAUAUACAUUUAUGCUGACUACGCAUACCCGCUCACAUACAAUCAUCAUAUGUGCUGCUGUGACUGUUUCUUAUAUUCUGAUGCCUUGUCACCUUAACCCUAUACACAUCUACCUAUCAUUACAGUAUCCCUGUACAUUGUAAAUAUGGUACUGGAACUGCUUGCUGACUUUUUCGUGUUCUUAUUUCUCAUGUUUUUGUUCUACCUUGUUAUAUUCAGUAUUACACUACUGCAUUGUUGAGGUUAGAGCUUGCAAGAAAGACAUUUCAUUGUGCAUGUGACAUUGAACUAGUCUGCCAAUAAACCUCGAAGAAGAAGUUGGUUCUGCUGUGUAGACCUCAGUUCUACAUUUAUCUAUGUUUUGAGUUGUUAGAACACUUUUACUUCCAUUCAUUUACAGGCCUUUUAAGUACUUUUUAUGCACUAUGGUUUUUGUCUUCUCUUUUGUAAACAAUUUCAAGUUUGGGAAAAUAAACCCCCUAAUAUUUGCACCCUA